CGGGGUUCAUGGCUGCCAAGAAGUGAUAGUAUCGACGAGGAGCUCUUCGCCGUUCAAAAAAGUGUUACGAGUCACUGCCAGCAAAAGUUGACAGAAGCGGACGCUGAGCUCUUGAUAAACGAGCUCUGCUUUGUGCGUUCAUGUGGGAUUGAGGUUGUCGGUCCUUGUUUUUGCUUGCUCCUUUCUUUUGUUUUGAUUACAAUGUCAACAAAGGUGGGCAUCUGGGAUUGUUACCUCACCCGGUGGAGGCAGACGAGAGGGAGGCCAAGUUGCCGAUCUCAGAUUUCCCUUCUGAUAAGUGCCCUGUGGAUGCUUAUCCCCCGUCCUGAAGUGUGUGAACACAAAAAUUGUUGGAUUGUUUGCAGUAUCUCAGAGUUGCAAACAUACCUGACAUUCUUUGUGGUGAGCAACAAGAAGAUAGUGUUUUCUCUGGUUGACAGAGCUGCAAGAGGUUUUAUGAUUCGCUGUUUGACUGAUGGAGGUGCAGUCUGGCAGUAGGGCUAUAUGCUGAGGUGAUUGGAGCAAGAUAUAAUAGCAUUUUCUUUCUUCUUUUUUUUUUUUUUUUUUUGCCUUUGACCUUGCUGUUUGCCCAUCACAGAUUGUCAGGUGUGGUGCUGAUCUAUGCUACCAAACUGUAAAUGAUAUAAAUGGGAUCUAAAUGACCUUUUACGUUACACUGGGCUCCUUUUUGUAAAUGCCUUGGAUGAUGCGUUGGCUCGGAGACAUGUCUCAGAAUCUUUUUGUGUUGUGAACUGGAAUGAAAGUUGUCUUUGUUAGCUGGUUAGUUCAGUGACCCAGAGUUUUGCCUGAACUGGGCGUCAUUCCUAUUUGUUUGUCAAAUACUAUUUGUUUGGGUUUUUUUUUUUAAAAAGUGGAUCCUGGUACAGUUUUUUUUCUCAAUAAAUAAAACAGCCUGUGGAUUUCCAAAAAAAAAGUUGUUGUACGAAAACUUAACAGUGCAAACUUUAGUCAGGUGUAACCAAGAAUAUGACUCAGAAUGGCUGAAGAAUCUUCAUCAGUAGAUUAUGUAAAUGGUAAAUGGCCUGUAUUUAUAUAGCGCUUUACUAGUCCCUAAGGACCCCAAAGCACUUUA
Long non-coding RNA from Astatotilapia calliptera (eastern happy), 1093 nucleotides. The record is from Ensembl. NCBI's taxonomy places the organism in Eukaryota, Metazoa, Chordata, Actinopteri, Cichliformes, Cichlidae.